CACACACGCACUUUCUUCUAUACUUAGUGCUUCUAGCUACAUUCAGACACAUUCAUACUGCGAUGGAUGCAUCGGAGAGCAACCUGGGGUUAGUAUCUUGCCCAAAGAUACUUGACAUGCAGACUGGAGGAGCCAGGGAUCGAACCAACUGGUGGCCCCAACUGAGAGCAACUAGUCAGCGGUGCAGUGGGAUAAUAUAAGUAGAGUCCAUAUGUCUGUACAUAUAGAAAGUCAGUGAAGGAGCCCUCCAUGGGAGAGGAUCAAAGGAUCCAUGGCUGUUUUGUGUGGAAAAUGGAUAGUGUGCAACACCACCACUCAGAAGACAGGACCACUUUCUCGAGCAAGCACGUCAGUUACACCAGGAGGGAACCUUUUUAUAAACACUGAAGCUUCACAGGCACUGUCACACACACGCCAUCAUUCUGAAUCAGUUUUAAUAUACAACCUAAAACAAACACUCAUUUGGCCUCUUUCUGCAUUCCACAAGUCACAUGACUUUGUGUCCUGCAGUGACCCCUUCACUUUAAAAUCCAGGACCUUUAAUACACAGCGUGGCAAACAGUUUGUCUGUGCCAUUACUUGUUCUACUUUUCAAGCUCAUGAGGCUUGCAAGCACUAUGACAAUAGUUCACAGAGUGGCAAAUACUGCCUGACUCUGUCAGAUGCCAGCAUGAACAGACCAAUCCACCUCCACACACGCAGAGAGAGAGACAGGUCCCGGAGAGACAAAGAGAAGCCAAUUAGCUGCUGACGAGGGAAAACACAGCCAAGCAGGAGGAGAGCAUGGAGCUCAAAGAGAUAGCGGCAUCACCAAAAGUCUUUCGGAGAUGAGUGAGUUCCUGAGGCAAAAUCCAUUCAACACCAUUCAACAGAAAGCUGCACGGCACUCAAAAGCACAUGCCGACCUCAAGGUGGAAGGUCAUGGCAGAUGGCCGCCUCUCCCUGAGCCUGGUCCUUUUUUCCGGUUAAAAGGGAGUUUUUCCUUCCCACAGUCACCAAGUGCUUGCUCAUAGGGGGCCGUCUGAUUGUUGGGGGUUUUCUCUGCAUUUUUGAAGGAUCAAAACCUUACAAUAUAAGGAACCUUGAGGCAAUUAUUCUUGUGAUUUGGUGCCAUAUAAACAGAAUUGAAUUCAAAUAAACACGUAAAACUAAGACAAGCUGCAAAUGGCGCUGGACUGAGAAACAGUCCAUGACCCUGUAUGACUACAUCCUGUGUACAAACAUGAGAAACAAAGCCAAAAGACGACUACAGCCAUAGCCAAUAAAACUUUAAAGUAACUCCAGCAUGUCACAACUCUAGCACAAGCAGUCAUCUGUGAACAAUAUCUGAAGCUGCAUGACCCUUCUGGCCUGGGUUGACUCCUGAUGGGUGCAAGCAAUUUUUCUUCAAUAGAACAAAUUUACAAUAGCUAAUGGAUCUUAUUAGCCUCCUGGUGCUGUUAGGUAUUUCACACACACACACACACAAAAAAAAAAAUGAAAUGCAAGACUUUUACCUGUUUGCUGGAUGUCUGUCCACUAAUUAAAGAUUGCAUUAAGGAUUAAGGUAGCUCGUUCUUUGCCAUUUCUGAAUGAGUUUCCCUGUUAUCUAGGACAAAAAUACAUUGACUAACAUUAACCACCACCUCCUCCUGCCAGUCGAAGCCACUGAGGUGAAAUCCCGCUGUCAAUUAGCUUCCAACAUGAAAGUAUCUUUUUCCUCAAACUGCACAUCCCAGCAUUUAAAAGAUCUGUGCAAAAGGUGCAACUUCCCUUGGGUGAGAAGUGAAAAACAGCACAAGUUUGGGACAAGUUUGGGUAUAAUCAUAUUCACUGUUCUCAACAUGUAGCUUCAACUUGAAAAGCAGAUCUUCAGACAAAUAUAUCUGGACUUCAAGUACCAGAGAACCACAAGGCCCUGAUGAAUGAAAACUAAAGCAAAACACUUCUCGAAAUCGACUGUGAUGCAGUCGGUGAGAUCAUUUCUCCAGCGAUGACUCUCACUCCUGUUGGUCUUGAACUAAAACAUCCACUUGUAAUUUUAGUUAUGCGUCACAUCCUGUCAGUAUGCACACACAGGCUCUCCCACUAAGAGCACAUAAUGUUUUUUGUAAGUUACUUACAGCAUUUGUGUUUGUUACUUACAGCCGAUUUCACCUUCUGUCAGUUAAAAUGCCAAAAAAAAAACAAAAAAAAAAAAAAAAACAACCAUCUGAAACAGUCACAGUUUUCAUUUUAUUCUGGGAUUAUCCACUUCAAGGGUUAGGAAACAAGAUUAUACAUUUGAAUAGACAUGCUUCAGUGCUUUCAGUACUGAACAAUUUCAGUAUUCAGUUUCACUACGAACUACAGUCAGUCAAAAAUACGAUGAGGUUAAACACUGACCCUCAGUUACCCAAAGAGAGGCAUUGAAAUAGCCAUGACAACGACAACAUUUCAAAAAAUAAAACUGGAUGACUUUGAUAGGACGACCUAUGAAUGGUUUUGAUGCCUGCACCAAUAUCAGAUCGUCGCCACAGGAGAACCGGACACCAAGUGACACUAAUUCCCUUAAAUUGCCCACAAGCUUUAAUACAGAGAGAUGGCGCUUUAGGAAAAAGGAUGACUGGUGGAUCAGACACGCUCUCCUUGCCAGACCUUGCUGCUGUGAGGGAGGUCCAACUCACAAGCAAACAACUUUUAGUGCAUCAGACAAAUACAUAAGUACUAAUGAAGCUGGUUUUUCUUCUUUCUGAUGCUGCACUGUGCAUAAUAACGCAGUCCAAACUCAAAGCAGAACUAACCACAUACGGGCUAGCUACCUAAUGUCAGCCACAACUCCCUUUGCUGUCAAAUCUAAUAGCUCGAUCUAGAACUUCUGAGGGGAACGGACUAUUAGCCAGCCACAUCAAAGGGAUGCAUCAGAGAGAGGGGGCGCGAGGGAGGGAGGUGGAGAACAAACAGGGUCACAGAAGGUUGAUACCCCUCCAUUCUUGUUUCAAAGAUAAGCUCAUGAAUGGCAAACAACCUUGCAGUGAGGUCGCGGGGCUGUACAAGACAGACGUGUCAUCAGACAACAAUCGCACACUGCUGUAAAUCCCAGCAGUGUGCUGGAUUUACACGCUCCUGUUCUCCUGAAUGCUGGGCAACCUCAAGGUUUUUUCUAUCACACAACGUGCACAUACAGAGAGGAUUCAAACUUUCGCUCUGUUACUUCCUUUAUUCAAUCACACACCAGGGAUUCCCCUUCAGUGCAUGAGGUGAGGCAGAUUUUGCCACCUGCCUGUUUUAUUGUAAUCACUAUUCACAAUUUUAAAAAAACUAACAAAAAAACCAAAACACAGGUGCAUGCACACCCCCUCAGCCAUCCAAACAUGUAGUUUACUUAAGGCUGCUGGUCUAAUAGCAAAGGGAGAGUGAUAGAACAAUAAAGCAGUGCAUGAAUAAAUUUCACUCCAUGUCACGCCAUGUUACACUUUCAGACAGUGACACACAAGAAACUGAGGGAUUCUCACCCAGCCAAAGCUUUCAAGCCUCCUCUUUUAUUCAGCAGACAGACAUGGAGCUGGCAGUUUAAUCCACGCUCCUGGUCUCAGAAUAAUCAUUAAAUGCUUUCAGUGAUGCAACGCGGGCUUGGACCAGGCAAUCGUCCCUCAGAGUACAAAUAAAAUACAUUUGACAAAAAAAAAAAAAAGAAGCAUCGUUUUUAUAAAAAAAAAAAAAACUCUCUGGUACAGCAAAGUCUUAACUGUGGACUCGGUAUCCCAGCUGUCAGCUGCACUAAAUGUCUCAGAGUGUAAGGAAGCCCUUUUCGCACCACAGCAGCUUGUACCCCGACCCCACCUGAAAAUGAAACUUUAGAAAAGGUACUGGUAUGGAAAACCAAAGGUGCCCUACAGAGGGAGGGAGUUUCAGAAGGAGAAACAAUGGUUUUCACAGAAAAUCGCAAUAUUUUUUAGAAGAAAGAAAAUUGGGUACACUUUGCUCACUGGAAGCCUUUUACUGUAAUAUGCAUGAGGCACAUUCUUGGCACACCAACUAUAUUAGCCUCCAUAACCUGUGCCGGUGCUUAUCAGCGGGUAAACAGGACAAAUCUGUGUCAGAAGGGCCAGAGCCACUUCGCCCCAUUCAUGGCCGCUUCUUUCCGGGUUCACCCCACGUCAGAUGAAGCUGUCACUAUUGUCCUCGGUCACUCCUCUGACCCCCCCUCUCCCCACAGCCUGCUCUGAUAUUGCACUUUUACUAUGAACUACAAUAUCAAAGCAAACGUCACAUGACACUAAAAGCCUGACCAAAGUCAUUCAGGCUCACCUUAUUCCCCACCCCCCAAAAAGCAGGACAGUGAGGGGGGGGGAAGCCGUAUAAUUUUAAAGCACUGCGUCGGCACAAUGGAGCUCUGUCCAAGAUGACCGUCUAAUAACUACGCACAAUAAGAAGCUGCUUUUUAUAAACUGUGCAGGGCGUCAUUUUAUCAUUUUUAUUUUAUUUUCAUGAAGGAUCGUUACGAAAUCUGUCACAGUUAACCUGCACUGUUCUCACAGAAACUUCUUGACAGAA
This is a long non-coding RNA of Oreochromis niloticus (Nile tilapia), 4515 nucleotides long. RefSeq lists it as uncharacterized. NCBI's taxonomy places the organism in Eukaryota, Metazoa, Chordata, Actinopteri, Cichliformes, Cichlidae. The record is from RefSeq and is a predicted model, not a curated record. The transcript is spliced from 3 exons.